RNAcentral lists this ribosomal RNA (274 nucleotides) under uncultured bacterium. RNAcentral's name for it is "partial 16S ribosomal RNA". It matches the Rfam family "Bacterial small subunit ribosomal RNA", at positions 523 to 796 of the family's 1533-position model. The record is from RNAcentral.
AUACGGAGGGUGCAAGCGUUACUCGGAAUCACUGGGCGUAAAGCGCGCGCAGGCGGCCUGAUAAGUUGGAUGUGAAAGCCUACGGCUCAACCGUAGAACUGCAUCCAAAACUGUCAGGCUAGAGUGUGAGAGAGGAAGAUGGAAUUAGUUGUGUAGGGGUAAAAUCCGUAGAGAUAACUAGGAAUACCAAAAGCGAAGGCAAUCUUCUGGAACACUACUGACGCUGAGGCGCGAAGGCGUGGGGAGCAAACAGGAGUAGAAACCCCGGUAGUCC